ACGUCAUCCCCACCUUCCUCCGGUUUAUCACCGGCAGUCUCCUUUGAGUUCCCGACCGAAUCGCUGGCAACAAAGGAUAAGGGUUGCGCUCGUUGCGGGACUUAACCCAACAUUUCACAACACGAGCUGACGACAGCCAUGCAGCACCUGUCUCACGGUUCCCGAAGGCACUAAGGCAUCUCUGCCAAAUUCCGUGGAUGUCAAGAGUAGGUAAGGUUCUUCGCGUUGCAUCGAAUUAAACCACAUGCUCCACCGCUUGUGCGGGCCCCCGUCAAUUCAUUUGAGUUUUAACCUUGCGGCCGUACUCCCCAGGCGGUCGACUUAACGCGUUAGCUCCGGAAGCCACUCCUCAAGGGAACAACCUCCAAGUCGACAUCGUUUACGGCGUGGACUACCAGGG
Molecule: unclassified non-coding RNA, 400 nt
Filed under: uncultured fungus
Lineage: Eukaryota; Fungi
Description: sequence contains ITS1
Source: RNAcentral